RNAcentral lists this ribosomal RNA (468 nucleotides) under uncultured bacterium. RNAcentral describes it as "partial 16S ribosomal RNA". It matches the Rfam family "Bacterial small subunit ribosomal RNA", at positions 28 to 507 of the family's 1533-position model. The record is from RNAcentral.
GACGAACGCUGGCGGCGUGCUUAACACAUGCAAGUCGAACGGAAAGGCCCUGCUUUUGUUGGGUUCUCGAUUGGCGAACGGGUGAGUAACACGUGAGUAACCUGCCCUUGACUUUGUGAUAACUUCAGGAAACUGGGGCUAAUACCGGAUAUGAGCUCCUGCUGCAUGUUGGGGGUUGGAAAGUUUCGGCGGUUGGGGAUGGACUCGCGGCUUAUCAGCUUGUUGGUGGGGUAGUGGCUUACCAAGGCUUUGACGGGUAGCCGGCCUGAGAGGGUGACCGGCCACAUUGGGACUGAGAUACGGCCCAGACUCCUACGGGAGGCAGCAGUGGGGAAUAUUGCACAAUGGGCGGAAGCCUGAUGCAGAAACGCCGCGUGCGGGAUGACGGCCUUCGGGUUGUAAACCGCUUUCGCAUGUGACGAAGCGUGAGUGACGGUAAUGGGUAAAGAAGCACCGGCUAACUACGUG